UUUUAGUCUGUUCAGAGGAACCUGUCCCGUAAUCGAUAUUCCACGUUAAACCUUACUUAUUUUUGUUAUCAGCUUGUAUACCGCCGUCGUCAGAAUGUCCUAAGAAGGGUUUAAUUUUCUUAAAUUUUUAUUAAAAAUGAUGUCAGGUCAAGGUGUAGCUUACGAAUAAGUGGUGAUGGGUUACAAUAAAUUUAUUUAUAACGGAUAAAGUUUUGAAAUAUUCUUUUGAAGGUGGAUUUGACGGUAAUUAACUUAAUUAAAUUAAUUUGAUUUUAGCUCUAAAACAUGCACACAUCGCCCGUCGCUCUCGUUAAUUAAGGCGAGAUAAGUC
This 331-nucleotide ribosomal RNA is filed under the name Protonemura lateralis. RNAcentral's name for it is "partial small subunit ribosomal RNA". It matches the Rfam family "Microsporidia small subunit ribosomal RNA", at positions 796 to 1270 of the family's 1311-position model. Lineage: Eukaryota; Metazoa; Arthropoda; Insecta; Plecoptera; Nemouridae. The record is from RNAcentral.